This 892-nucleotide ribosomal RNA is filed under the name Escherichia coli. RNAcentral's name for it is "partial 23S ribosomal RNA". It matches the Rfam family "Bacterial large subunit ribosomal RNA", at positions 2030 to 2916 of the family's 2925-position model. The record is from RNAcentral. RNAcentral also lists the same sequence under 1 other name. Lineage: Bacteria; Pseudomonadati; Pseudomonadota; Gammaproteobacteria; Enterobacterales; Enterobacteriaceae.
GACUCAGUGAAAUUGAACUCGCUGUGAAGAUGCAGUGUACCCGCGGCAAGACGGAAAGACCCCGUGAACCUUUACUAUAGCUUGACACUGAACAUUGAGCCUUGAUGUGUAGGAUAGGUGGGAGGCUUUGAAGUGUGGACGCCAGUCUGCAUGGAGCCGGCCUUGAAAUACCACCCUUUAAUGUUUGAUGUUCUAACGUGGACCCGUGAUCCGGGUUGCGGACAGUGUCUGGUGGGUAGUUUGACUGGGGCGGUCUCCUCCUAAAGAGUAACGGAGGAGCACGAAGGUUGGCUAAUCCUGGUCGGACAUCAGGAGGUUAGUGCAAUGGCAUAAGCCAGCUUGACUGCGAGCGUGACGGCGCGAGCAGGUGCGAAAGCAGGUCAUAGUGAUCCGGUGGUUCUGAAUGGAAGGGCCAUCGCUCAACGGAUAAAAGGUACUCCGGGGAUAACAGGCUGAUACCGCCCAAGAGUUCAUAUCGACGGCGGUGUUUGGCACCUCGAUGUCGGCUCAUCACAUCCUGGGGCUGAAGUAGGUCCCAAGGGUAUGGCUGUUCGCCAUUUAAAGUGGUACGCGAGCUGGGUUUAGAACGUCGUGAGACAGUUCGGUCCCUAUCUGCCGUGGGCGCUGGAGAACUGAGGGGGGCUGCUCCUAGUACGAGAGGACCGGAGUGGACGCAUCACUGGUGUUCGGGUUGUCAUGCCAAUGGCACUGCCCGGUAGCUAAAUGCGGAAGAGAUAAGUGCUGAAAGCAUCUAAGCACGAAACUUGCCCCGAGAUGAGUUCUCCCUGACCCUUUAAGGGUCCUGAAGGAACGUUGAAGACGACGACGUUGAUAGGCCGGGUGUGUAAGCGCAGCGAUGCGUUGAGCUAACCGGUACUAAUGAACCGUGAGG